GGAUUGAGGUUAUCGUUUGAUGG
Molecule: non-coding RNA, 23 nt
Filed under: Arabidopsis thaliana (thale cress)
Lineage: Eukaryota; Viridiplantae; Streptophyta; Magnoliopsida; Brassicales; Brassicaceae
Source: RNAcentral